GUCAAGUGUGAAGAGUGGUGAUCCAUCGCCAGGGUAUUAGCUUAUCAAGGUGUUAAGUUUAGCUUGGGUGGACAAGAGACAGUGACAGUACUGAAUUCAAAUGAAGAGAUGAACAGGUGAGAUUGGAGAUGAACAGGUGUUAUUGGAGAUGAACAGGUGAGAUUGGAGAUGGACAGGUGAGAUUGGAGAUGGACAGGUGAGAGAGGAGAUGAACAGGUGAGAUUGGAGAUGGACAGGUGAGAUUGGAGAUGGACAGGUAAGAUUGGAGAUGGACAGGUGCAAGAGGGAGAAAAGAGAACAUCUCCAUUCAGCAGAAACAAGUAGCCCUGUUCCACCACCGUGACGACCAGAUGCUCUCGGAAUGUGAAACAUGUAGUCAGACGAAGAGAGAGCAGCCGGAGCAGCAGAGUUCUCUGGGUUGAUCAGACGAAGAGAGAGCAGCCGGAGCAGCAGGGUUCUCUGGGGUGAUCAUAUGAAGAGAGAGCAGCCGGAGCAGCAGGGUUCUCUGGGGUGAUCAUAUGAAGAGAGAGCAGCCGG
Molecule: long non-coding RNA, 537 nt
Filed under: Salmo salar (Atlantic salmon)
Lineage: Eukaryota; Metazoa; Chordata; Actinopteri; Salmoniformes; Salmonidae
Description: lncRNA (ENSSSAG00000100870.1, ENSSSAG00000104074.1)
Source: RNAcentral